Molecule: unclassified non-coding RNA, 165 nt
Filed under: uncultured Tricholoma
Lineage: Eukaryota; Fungi; Basidiomycota; Agaricomycetes; Agaricales; Tricholomataceae
Description: sequence contains ITS1
Source: RNAcentral
CAGAGUUCUCGCCCUCGCGGGUAGAUCUCCCACCCACUGUUAUUGCUACCGUGUUGCUUUGGCGGGCUGCUGGGCCUAGCCCGGCCGCCGGCUCCGGCUGGCGCGCCCGCCAGAGGCUCCAUAGACUCUGAAUAUUAGUGUCGUCUGAGUACUAUAUAAUCGUUA